ACUGCUUUGUGAUUUACAAAGAAUUUCUGGAAUCCCCUGGAUGUUGUCUUUUCCCCCUAUGUCCUCAUGCUUUAUAAACUUCGCCAUGUACUUUAAAGGCCAUAUUAAUACCCUGCUGCAUUAUGGCCUUUGGAAAACAGAUCUGCAUGGAUGGGUGAAGACAAACAUGAAUUCUUGUGCUUGUCCAUAACCUGAAGAGCGUGAAUCACCACCUGUUGAUUCAAAGAUUUGUGUCUUCAUCAGUAUAGGGCUGUAGUUAAUGGAAGCAAAUUCAGAAUAUAUUAAUACCAAGGAAAUCCAAAUAAUUUCUCUAUAGAGGUGUAAAUCUCCCGUACUAGAGCAGAAUUACAUGUCUUUAUCAGAGACUCAUCUGCUUUUACUAUCCAUGUAGACAGAGGUGGGUCUGCGGAUACACAGCACUAAAGUGUGUUUUCCAAAUUACUUUUCAAACAAGCUGACUGAAGAAAUACUAGCAACUGCAGUCCUGGUCUCUGGACAGCCACAAGGAUAGAAAAUACAAUUUUUUUGAUGCUCAAGGACCCACAUAUUAAAAGACCAGGAAACAAUACUGCUGAUUGCCAGUUCCUGCUAGUAUUACAAAAUCAUCUUACAAAUUAAGGAUCUGGCAACUAAAACCUCAGAUUUCUGAAACUGUAACCCCCUUCCAAAUGAAGACCCAUACAUACUAAACUCAAGACAGAAAUAUUAAAGAAAAAGCAUAAUGAUCUUGGUUAUUUAGAAGUAUAUCCAUGCUUCUCUUGGACUAAGGAGCUCAGAACUGGAUAUAUGUGUGGCCUCAGCAGCACUGAGUAGAGAAUAUGCACAGAAAACUUGUCAUGGUAUGAAGUACAUACCCCAGCUUCAUUAAAAUACCAGCAUCAUGGGACAGAAUACAUCCCUGCAUUAUUUCAAGCACUUGAAAUGAAGAUAAAACUUCCACGUGGGGGUUACUCUGCAUCCAUGUGUUCCUCUACAUACACAUCUAUUCUUGUUAUUGU
Non-coding RNA from Taeniopygia guttata (zebra finch), 998 nucleotides. The record is from RefSeq and is a predicted model, not a curated record. NCBI's taxonomy places the organism in Eukaryota, Metazoa, Chordata, Aves, Passeriformes, Estrildidae.